This 2923-nucleotide ribosomal RNA is filed under the name Staphylococcus aureus. RNAcentral describes it as "23S ribosomal RNA". It matches the Rfam family "Bacterial large subunit ribosomal RNA". Lineage: Bacteria; Bacillati; Bacillota; Bacilli; Caryophanales; Staphylococcaceae. The record is from RNAcentral.
GAUUAAGUUAUUAAGGGCGCACGGUGGAUGCCUUGGCACUAGAAGCCGAUGAAGGACGUUACUAACGACGAUAUGCUUUGGGGAGCUGUAAGUAAGCUUUGAUCCAGAGAUUUCCGAAUGGGGAAACCCAGCAUGAGUUAUGUCAUGUUAUCGAUAUGUGAAUACAUAGCAUAUCAGAAGGCACACCCGGAGAACUGAAACAUCUUAGUACCCGGAGGAAGAGAAAGAAAAUUCGAUUCCCUUAGUAGCGGCGAGCGAAACGGGAAGAGCCCAAACCAACAAGCUUGCUUGUUGGGGUUGUAGGACACUCUAUACGGAGUUACAAAGGACGACAUUAGACGAAUCAUCUGGAAAGAUGAAUCAAAGAAGGUAAUAAUCCUGUAGUCGAAAAUGUUGUCUCUCUUGAGUGGAUCCUGAGUACGACGGAGCACGUGAAAUUCCGUCGGAAUCUGGGAGGACCAUCUCCUAAGGCUAAAUACUCUCUAGUGACCGAUAGUGAACCAGUACCGUGAGGGAAAGGUGAAAAGCACCCCGGAAGGGGAGUGAAAUAGAACCUGAAACCGUGUGCUUACAAGUAGUCAGAGCCCGUUAAUGGGUGAUGGCGUGCCUUUUGUAGAAUGAACCGGCGAGUUACGAUUUGAUGCAAGGUUAAGCAGUAAAUGUGGAGCCGUAGCGAAAGCGAGUCUGAAUAGGGCGUUUAGUAUUUGGUCGUAGACCCGAAACCAGGUGAUCUACCCUUGGUCAGGUUGAAGUUCAGGUAACACUGAAUGGAGGACCGAACCGACUUACGUUGAAAAGUGAGCGGAUGAACUGAGGGUAGCGGAGAAAUUCCAAUCGAACCUGGAGAUAGCUGGUUCUCUCCGAAAUAGCUUUAGGGCUAGCCUCAAGUGAUGAUUAUUGGAGGUAGAGCACUGUUUGGACGAGGGGCCCCUCUCGGGUUACCGAAUUCAGACAAACUCCGAAUGCCAAUUAAUUUAACUUGGGAGUCAGAACAUGGGUGAUAAGGUCCGUGUUCGAAAGGGAAACAGCCCAGACCACCAGCUAAGGUCCCAAAAUAUAUGUUAAGUGGAAAAGGAUGUGGCGUUGCCCAGACAACUAGGAUGUUGGCUUAGAAGCAGCCAUCAUUUAAAGAGUGCGUAAUAGCUCACUAGUCGAGUGACACUGCGCCGAAAAUGUACCGGGGCUAAACAUAUUACCGAAGCUGUGGAUUGUCCUUUGGACAAUGGUAGGAGAGCGUUCUAAGGGCGUUGAAGCAUGAUCGCAAGGACAUGUGGAGCGCUUAGAAGUGAGAAUGCCGGUGUGAGUAGCGAAAGACGGGUGAGAAUCCCGUCCACCGAUUGACUAAGGUUUCCAGAGGAAGGCUCGUCCGCUCUGGGUUAGUCGGGUCCUAAGCUGAGGCCGACAGGCGUAGGCGAUGGAUAACAGGUUGAUAUUCCUGUACCACCUAUAAUCGUUUUAAUCGAUGGGGGGACGCAGUAGGAUAGGCGAAGCGUGCGAUUGGAUUGCACGUCUAAGCAGUAAGGCUGAGUAUUAGGCAAAUCCGGUACUCGUUAAGGCUGAGCUGUGAUGGGGAGAAGACAUUGUGUCUUCGAGUCGUUGAUUUCACACUGCCGAGAAAAGCCUCUAGAUAGAAAAUAGGUGCCCGUACCGCAAACCGACACAGGUAGUCAAGAUGAGAAUUCUAAGGUGAGCGAGCGAACUCUCGUUAAGGAACUCGGCAAAAUGACCCCGUAACUUCGGGAGAAGGGGUGCUCUUUAGGGUUAACGCCCAGAAGAGCCGCAGUGAAUAGGCCCAAGCGACUGUUUAUCAAAAACACAGGUCUCUGCUAAACCGUAAGGUGAUGUAUAGGGGCUGACGCCUGCCCGGUGCUGGAAGGUUAAGAGGAGUGGUUAGCUUCUGCGAAGCUACGAAUCGAAGCCCCAGUAAACGGCGGCCGUAACUAUAACGGUCCUAAGGUAGCGAAAUUCCUUGUCGGGUAAGUUCCGACCCGCACGAAAGGCGUAACGAUUUGGGCACUGUCUCAACGAGAGACUCGGUGAAAUCAUAGUACCUGUGAAGAUGCAGGUUACCCGCGACAGGACGGAAAGACCCCGUGGAGCUUUACUGUAGCCCGAUAUUGAAAUUCGGCACAGCUUGUACAGGAUAGGUAGGAGCCUUUGAAACGUGAGCGCUAGCUUACGUGGAGGCGCUGGUGGGAUACUACCCUAGCUGUGUUGGCUUUCUAACCCGCACCACUUAUCGUGGUGGGAGACAGUGUCAGGCGGGCAGUUUGACUGGGGCGGUCGCCUCCUAAAAGGUAACGGAGGCGCUCAAAGGUUCCCUCAGAAUGGUUGGAAAUCAUUCAUAGAGUGUAAAGGCAUAAGGGAGCUUGACUGCGAGACCUACAAGUCGAGCAGGGUCGAAAGACGGACUUAGUGAUCCGGUGGUUCCGCAUGGAAGGGCCAUCGCUCAACGGAUAAAAGCUACCCCGGGGAUAACAGGCUUAUCUCCCCCAAGAGUUCACAUCGACGGGGAGGUUUGGCACCUCGAUGUCGGCUCAUCGCAUCCUGGGGCUGUAGUCGGUCCCAAGGGUUGGGCUGUUCGCCCAUUAAAGCGGUACGCGAGCUGGGUUCAGAACGUCGUGAGACAGUUCGGUCCCUAUCCGUCGUGGGCGUAGGAAAUUUGAGAGGAGCUGUCCUUAGUACGAGAGGACCGGGAUGGACAUACCUCUGGUGUACCAGUUGUCGUGCCAACGGCAUAGCUGGGUAGCUAUGUGUGGACGGGAUAAGUGCUGAAAGCAUCUAAGCAUGAAGCCCCCCUCAAGAUGAGAUUUCCCAACUUCGGUUAUAAGAUCCCUCAAAGAUGAUGAGGUUAAUAGGUUCGAGGUGGAAGCAUGGUGACAUGUGGAGCUGACGAAUACUAAUCGAUCGAAGACUUAAUCAA